AUGCGCGCCGCGGCCGCCGUCGAAGCUGCCACCGGCGCUGCCCGCCGCCAUCUUGGCGGGGAGCUCGGUGGGGAAGAAGGCGGAGGUGCCCUCCUUCAUCGGCGGCGUGGCGAAGGCGACGCUGCCGUCCCCCAUGGGGCGGAAAUUGAAUCGGCUGUGCACGGAGCCGUUGGUGCCCUCCCCGGCGGCGUAGAUGUCGGUGGAGUUGUGCGUGAGGGAGCAGCUGGGGUUGUGCGAGAACAUGGAGUAGGAGUAGGACAUGUCGUCGGAGUUGAUGCUCCGGGUGCGGCCCGUGGUGGCGCUGUAGGUCCGCCUUGGGGGCGGCGCGGCGGCGGCGCCGGCCGACGCGGC
RNAcentral lists this ribosomal RNA (351 nucleotides) under Triticum aestivum (bread wheat). RNAcentral's name for it is "partial small subunit ribosomal RNA". Lineage: Eukaryota; Viridiplantae; Streptophyta; Magnoliopsida; Poales; Poaceae. The record is from RNAcentral.